GCUAAAACAACAUAUGCUAAGAAAAAUCUUAACACAUGAACAUAUGCAAGCAAUGAACCAGACUAGUAACUAUUGUGGUUGUUAUCUCCAAGGUAUAUAUAUUAAUAAAUACCCCAUAAGUUGUUGAUAUUUUUGAUAAAAAUUAUAUUAAUAAAUACCCUAUAAGAUAAACCCUCAGCGGUCGCUGAUUUAAAAUAAUGUAUUCAAGAGGAAGUCAAACCAGAAUAAAAUGGCACCCCGGUAGCAGGUAUCCACUCACUCCCUUGAAUAAAAUUUCCAACAGUGAAUUGACUGGCCUCACUAGAGCUAUUAAUGACCCGAUAACCGGGCCAUUUUACUCUAGCACUAGUAUUUGAACCGGGUCCCCGGUUCAAAUACUCUCCAUAAUAAAGUGUGUUCAAUGCAAAAUCACCACUCCAUUCUAACCAACCAGCAGGAUCAAUUAAGCUUCCAAUAUUGGAUAUGAGAAUUACAGUUCUUGAAUAUUGUUUCCAUGGUCGUCCUAAGUAAUUUUUGAAUGACGAUACAACAGGAACUAAAUCCGAUGCAGCUUCCACUUUACAAUUCAAGAUUGAAAUUCCAGUGUUUUGAUUUGGAUCUUCUCUUCCUUGUGCCGUGAACAUGUUCUUCUGAUUCGGGUUAGGUUUACGAGCAUACAAGUUACAAUUCUGGAGAACAACAGCUGCAUUACCA
This 693-nucleotide unclassified non-coding RNA is filed under the name Hevea brasiliensis (rubber tree). Lineage: Eukaryota; Viridiplantae; Streptophyta; Magnoliopsida; Malpighiales; Euphorbiaceae. The record is from RNAcentral.